GGAGGUGGGGUAUAGCCUGUAGAAAUACAGGGUAAUCCCGCAUAAUGUCGUAAGACCAAAGCUCCGGCGCCCCCAGAGGGGCCCAUGUGAUAUUAGCUUGUUGGUGAGGUAACGGCUCACCAAGGCAAAGAUGUCUAGCGGGUGUGAGAGCACGACCCGCGCCACUGGCACUGAGACACUGGCCAGACACCUACGGGUGGCUGCAGUCGAGGAUCUUCGGCAAUGGGCGCAAGCCUGACCGAGCGAGGCCGCGUGGAUGAUGAAGGCCUUCGGGUUGUAAAAUCCUGUCGAGGGGGAGAAAAGCGAAAGCUUGAUCUAUCCCUGGAGGAAGCACGGGCUAAGUUCGUGCCAGCAGCCGCGGUAAGACGAACCGUGCGAACGUUGUUCGGAAUCACUGGGCUUAAAGGGCGCGUAGGCGGGCUACCAAGUCCGGGGUGAAAUCCUCCAGCUUAACUGGAGAACUGCCUCGGAUACUGGUGGUCUCGAGGGUGAUAGGGGCGAGCGGAACUAAUGGUGGAGCGGUGAAAUGCGUUGAUAUCAUUAGGAACUCCGGUGGCGAAGGCGGCUCGCUGGAUCACUUCUGACGCUGAGGCGCGAAAGCCAGGGGAGCAAACGGGAUUAGAUACCCCGGUAGUCCUGGCCCUAAACGUUGAGAACUAGGUAGUAGACUAGAAAUGGGUUUACUGCCGAAGCAAAAGUGCUAAG
This 705-nucleotide ribosomal RNA is filed under the name uncultured Planctomycetota bacterium. RNAcentral's name for it is "bacterial SSU rRNA". It matches the Rfam family "Bacterial small subunit ribosomal RNA", at positions 132 to 864 of the family's 1533-position model. The record is from RNAcentral. Lineage: Bacteria; Pseudomonadati; Planctomycetota.